GAAUCAUUCAAAGUUCUAAACUUUUAUUCUAAAUUCCACAGAGUUGAUGGUUUUCAGCACAUUGCCAGUCUGUCAUUGUUAAAUCAUGGAUUUGGAAUUUUCGUUAUCUCAUGCAUCACAUAAAAACAAAGCAAUCUCUGAUUGGUCACUGAACAUGUCAAUCUUCCUACAUGUCGAAGUCUCUUCCUGACUGGUUCUUUGCCAGAAUAUACAGACAAUACUUACGCUAGUCAAAACUCUUUCUUCAUAUCACUAGUUCUUCCACAUCCCUCUUUUUUCCCUCAGCUAGUCUCCUUUAGUGUGACCUUGUGGCCAGUGCUGUGGUGGGCUCACCGUGACACUUCCAUGCUGCUGGGUGUCAGCGCUGAUGAUGGUUGGCCUUCAGUCCCAGAUGGCUCCCAUAUGUUUGAACACACUUCCAGAGUCUGUGAUUGAUCCCUUCGGCGCUAAACACCCUCACGGUAACGCGUGUCAGAGCGGACUGGUGCCAGCGCUGGUUCGAGCCCCUCUGCCCACUGUGUCACCCUCUCUGGGCAUGAAGCACUUCCUUCCCUUCCCUCUAGACGGCGGCUCCACGCUCAGCCUCAUUCCCAGCUUCAGCAGCAUGGAUCCAGUUCAGAAAGCUGUUUUGCAUCACACGUUCAGCGCUUCAGCCUCCUCUAAAAGGAAAGCUGUCUCGUGCGGCGUGUGCCAGCUGAGGUUUAACUCGCAGAGCCAGGCCUCGGCACACUACAAAGGCACCAAACACGCCAAGAAGAUGAAGUCCUUGGACGCCCCGAAAUGCCUCAAACAAAAGAGCUCCCUGGUCACCAGGGAAAAUACCAACAAGGAGCCGCCUAGAGGACUCUCUCCCUCCAUAGCGGCCAGCAACACUGACCAACAAGGUGGGAGUCCUGGUGCACCUGUGGCCCCUUCAUCACCCUCUUCUGCCCCGGGGUCCGGCCCCAGCGUGGAGCCCACAGAGCCAGAGUCUACCUCAGUGUCAGGAGGAGAGGACGGCCGCUCCAUCACGCCCAGCCCGCCUGAACCAGAGGAGAACGACCCCGCUGUAGUCAGUCCAGAGACGGAGGAUGAGAAAGCACUGCGUCUGCUCUACUGCUCCCUCUGUAAGGUGGCCGUCAACUCUGCGUCACAGCUAGACGCACAUAACAGUGGCACCAAACACAAAACCAUGCUGGAGGCUCGGAGUGGGAUCGGCUCCAUCAAAUCGUUCCCCAGGGCCGGGGUGAAGAGCAAGCUGACCGCCCCCACUAAAGCAGACACGGGCCUGCAGAACAAGACAUUCCACUGUGAAACCUGCGACGUGCACGUCAAUUCAGAGACGCAGCUCAAGCAGCAUAUCAGCAGCAGACGCCAUAAAGACAGAGCUGCGGGGAAACCAGCCAAACCCAAGUACAGUCCUUACACCAAAACCCAAAGAGGAGCCCCCAAACAGACACAGGUGAAGAUGCCGGCAGGUAAAGAGCUGUGUCCACCGCUGACCACCAGGAUAAUGCCGUCACACCUUGCAGCUGUCGCUGCUGCAGCCGCCGCCAUUGGCUCCGCCUUCCCGCUGCGUGCCUGCCAUAACCCCGCCCUCUUUCAGACUCAGUCCCUCCCCGCCGCGCUGCUCCGCCCUGCACCGGGGCCAAUUAGGACUGCUCACACGCCUGUACUGUUUGCCCCUUAUUGACCUUUGAACUAUGACCUCUGGGGGAUCGGAUCAUUAACCCUUCCAUCUCCCCAUACCAAGAUCCAAUGCGCGAUAUCGCAAUAAUUUAAAGACAAAAAACGAACCAGAGUACAAGAUUGAUUUGUAAAUUUAAGGUGAGUUUGAGAACACUAUGUGGGAAAUGAAAAGUUGUAUUUCUCUGCUGUUUUGCACUUUAAGUCUAUCUGUGGUUGAUUUCAGUGCUUUAGAUGUCUAGUUCUCUCUGUUUCCAGCUGUUGGUGUAAAAGCUCAGCAGGGCUUCAUUUGUCAAUGGACCCGCUUCACAUUUCCGUGGAUCUCAGAAACGGUCACCAUAGACUUCUAUAGUUGUGAAUGGAAACUACAACAAAUAUUAUUUUUGGGUUCCCAUUAGCUUCAGUAGAAGAAAAGCAUUUCUAUGACUUCAAAAAAAGAGGAAGAAAUAUCUAUAUAUAAUAUCAACAAAAUCCUAUCAAAAUCAUAAUCAAUUACGCUGGUCAGAAAACAAAUUUGUCAUCACUCCCUCAAAAAAAAAAAAUACUUUGAAACUUUUUUCACUCUGAAAAUUUCUGUUUAUUUUCCAAAAUUAAGAAUUUAUUAUUAAUCAUACAUUCAUUCCAAAAAAUUAUAAUUGUAAUCGUUGUCUAUUCUUAAAAUUUAAUUAAUAAAACAUUUGUCAUCACUUCCUCAAUAAGUUUACUUUGUAAUAAUUUGCACUCAGAAAUUUCAGGCAAUUUUACAAAUAAAGAAACAUCAGUUACCACAUUUAAUUAAAUGAAAGAUUUCCACCUAAAACUUAAAUGCAGAGGCAAAAAAAAAGAAAAAAAAAAAGCAAGGUAUAGUAUUAUAAAUAUUCAUGAAAAUAGUACAAAAAAACUUGCUAGUUUUACAGUGUUAAUAACUCUGGAAGUGCAUCUGUGAAAAAGGUCCAUUAAGACAUAAUGGAAUAAUUUAUUGGUGGUGGAUCUGGCAGGUUUGGGACACUAACUGUGCAUUUUUUAUACAGUUAAAACUUAGUUUCAGAUAAUAACAGAAAAUGUCAUGUGACUGAUCAUGCUCAAGAUUGUCAUGUUAAUUCUGAUGUUGAUGUUAGGAAUGUUAAGGCUGCUGACAUCAAAGACGGAUAAAUAAAAGUUAAUUACACGGAUUUAAGUGUUUGCAUCCCAAUUCCAGAUCCAGAUCCAGCUUUUCCAAUAGAAAUGAAGCCCUGCUGAACCUGCUUGUGAAUGUGUGUGUGUGUGUGUGUGUGUGUACAGCAGAACUUGGGGAAGAUAAGAGGGUGAUUUCCAAAGUAAAAUGCUGCUGAUUUAUGUCAAAGCAAGGUUAAAAAUAUAGUGGGAUGUUUGCUAAACAGAUGAAUAUGUAAAUGUGCAGGAGUGUGUUUGCGUGUGUGGGUGUGUGUGUGGGGUGAGUUAACCGUCUUUUCACCUGAAGUCGUCCCUGGAAACAUCUCAUGAAUAUUACAUGAGCUACUGGGGCCACAAAGCUUGUCUGUCUCUUCUUGCAAUGUGAAAAACGAUAAACAUUUUCAAAUAAAGAAUACUGCUUUGUUUACUUGCUUGUUUAAAAAAAAAAAUAUAAUAAUCACUUAAAUAUGGAGAAUGUACACACACACACACACACACACACACACACUACCCUUCAAAAGUUAAAUUCCUAAUUUUGAACAAGGACACGUUACAUUAAGACACA
Carassius auratus (goldfish) is the source of this 3361-nucleotide RNA transcript. It is a transcript of the gene named zinc finger protein 385D, with no coding region annotated. The transcript has 9 exons. The record is from RefSeq and is a predicted model, not a curated record. NCBI's taxonomy places the organism in Eukaryota, Metazoa, Chordata, Actinopteri, Cypriniformes, Cyprinidae.